AAAUGAAUCCCCUGGGGAAUCUUGCUAAAAACAAGACUCUGAUUUAGUAGGUGCGCGGUUUUGGAGUCUCAGAUUCUUCAUUUCUAACAACAUUGUAAGUGAUGUAAAA
Molecule: microRNA precursor, 109 nt
Filed under: Marmota monax (woodchuck)
Lineage: Eukaryota; Metazoa; Chordata; Mammalia; Rodentia; Sciuridae
Source: RNAcentral